GAGCACGUAGGUGGGUUUGUAAGUCAGGUGUGAAAGCCUUCUGCUCAAAGGAAGAACGGCAUCUGAAACUGCAGAUCUUGAGUGUAGGAGGGGAGAGUGGAACUUCUGGUGGAGCGGUGAAAUGCGUAGAUAUCAGAAGGAACGUCGGCGGCGAAAGCGACUCUCUGGCCUAUUACUGACACUGAGUGUGCGAAAGUUAGGGGAGCAAACGGGAUUAGAUACCCCGGUAGUCCUAACCGUAAACGAUGGGCACUAAGUAGAGGG
RNAcentral lists this ribosomal RNA (264 nucleotides) under uncultured Planctomycetota bacterium. Its description in RNAcentral is "uncultured planctomycete partial 16S ribosomal RNA". It matches the Rfam family "Bacterial small subunit ribosomal RNA", at positions 565 to 827 of the family's 1533-position model. Lineage: Bacteria; Pseudomonadati; Planctomycetota. The record is from RNAcentral.